CCUACGGGGGGCUGCAGUGGGGGAUAUUGCACAAUGGAGGAAAGUCUGACGGAGCAACGCCGCGUGAGCGAAGAAGGUCUUCGGAUCGUAAAGCUCUGUUGUUAGGGAAGAACAAGUACGGGAGGAAAUGACCGUACCUUGACGGUACCUGACGAGGAAGCCACGGCUAACUACGUGCCAGCAGCCGCGGUAAUACGUAGGUGGCAAGCGUUGUCCGGAAUUAUUGGGCGUAAAGCGCGCGCAGGCGGUCUUUUAAGUCUGAUGUGAAAGCUUGCGGCUCAACCGCAAGCGGUCAUGGGAAACUGGGAGACUUGAGUGCAGAAGAGGAAAGCGGAAUUCAACGGGAGGCGGUGAAAUGCGUAGGGAUGUGGAGGAACACCAGUGGCGAAGGCGGCUUUCUGGUCUGUAACUGACGCUGAGGCGCGAAGCGUGGGGAGCAAACAGGAUUAGAUACCCUGGUAGUC
This 464-nucleotide ribosomal RNA is filed under the name uncultured bacterium. RNAcentral describes it as "bacterial SSU rRNA". It matches the Rfam family "Bacterial small subunit ribosomal RNA", at positions 338 to 795 of the family's 1533-position model. The record is from RNAcentral.